RNAcentral lists this ribosomal RNA (254 nucleotides) under uncultured bacterium. RNAcentral describes it as "partial 16S ribosomal RNA". It matches the Rfam family "Bacterial small subunit ribosomal RNA", at positions 524 to 776 of the family's 1533-position model. The record is from RNAcentral.
UACGGGGGAGCAAGCGUUGUUCGGAUUUACUGGGCGUAAAGGGCGCGUAGGCGGCCACCGCAAGUCAGUUGUGAAAUCUCUGGGCUUAACCCAGAAAGGUCAACUGAUACUGCGGGGCUAGAGUGCAGAAGGGGCAACUGGAAUUCUCGGUGUAGCGGUGAAAUGCGUAGAUAUCGAGAGGAACACCUGCGGCGAAGGCGGGUUGCUGGGCUGACACGUGACGCUGAGGCGCGAAAGCUAGGGGAGCGAACGGG